Molecule: unclassified non-coding RNA, 165 nt
Filed under: soil metagenome
Description: partial internal transcribed spacer 1
Source: RNAcentral
GAAAUCGCCGGCCUAGCCGGUAUAAACUUCUAUCCACCCUUGUGUGCAAACAAUGGAAAAAGAGAGAAAAUUGGAUACUUUUUUUGUAUCCAACCUCUCUAAAAUUUUUUAUAAACUCCAUCAAAUUUUGAAUAAAACGAUUUUUUUUAAAUAAAAAAUAUUAUA